GCGAGUCUGAAUAGGGCGCAUAAGUAACAGGUCGUAGACCCGAAACCAGGUGAUCUACCCAUGUCCAGGAUGAAGGUAAGGUAAUACUUACUGGAGGUCCGAACCCACGCACGUUGAAAAGUGCGGGGAUGAGGUGUGGGUAGCGGAGAAAUUCCAAUCGAACUUGGAGAUAGCUGGUUCUCUCCGAAAUAGCUUUAGGGCUAGCCUCGAGGUAAAGAGUCAUGGAGGUAGAGCACUGUUUGGACUAGGGGCCCUUCUCGGGUUACCGAAUUCAGAUAAACUCCGAAUGCCAUGUACUUAUACUCGGGAGUCAGACUGCGAGUGAUAAGAUCCGUAGUCGAAAGGGAAACAGCCCAGACCACCAGUUAAGGUCCCCAAAUAUAUGUUAAGUGGAAAAGGAUGUGGGGUUGCUUAGACAACCAGGAUGUUGGCUUAGAAGCAGCCACCAUUGAAAGAGUGCGUAAUAGCUCACUGGUCGAGUGACCCCGCGCCGAAAAUGUACCGGGGCUAAACAUAUUACCGAAACUGUGGAUGAACCUCUUUAGAGGUUCGUGGUAGGAGAGCGUUCUAAGGGCGGUGAAGUCAGACCGGAAGGACUGGUGGAGCGCUUAGAAGUGAGAAUGCCGGUAUGAGUAGCGAAAGAAGGGUGAGAAUCCCUUCCACCGAAUAUCUAAGGUUUCCUGAGGAAGGCUCGUCCGCUCAGGGUUAGUCGGGACCUAAGCCGAGGCCGAUAGGCGUAGGCGAUGGACAACA
This 753-nucleotide ribosomal RNA is filed under the name Listeria monocytogenes. RNAcentral describes it as "partial 23S ribosomal RNA". It matches the Rfam family "Bacterial large subunit ribosomal RNA", at positions 677 to 1427 of the family's 2925-position model. RNAcentral also lists the same sequence under 1 other name. Lineage: Bacteria; Bacillati; Bacillota; Bacilli; Caryophanales; Listeriaceae. The record is from RNAcentral.